AGUCCAUGAUGUGGACAUUUUUGAAGCAACUCUCUAAGCUGUUUUGAUAUUUCAUAUAUUAAUUCACUCUCUAGUUGACUAAAACUAGUUAUAUCUUUUCUAAUUUU
This is a small nucleolar RNA of Coffea eugenioides, 107 nucleotides long. The record is from RefSeq and is a predicted model, not a curated record. NCBI's taxonomy places the organism in Eukaryota, Viridiplantae, Streptophyta, Magnoliopsida, Gentianales, Rubiaceae.